AUUGAACGCUGGCGGCAUGCCUUACACAUGCAAGUCGAACGGCAGCGGGGGAGAAGCUUGCUUUUCCUGCCGGCGAGUGGCGAACGGGUGAGUAAUACAUCGGAACGUGCCCUGUAGUGGGGGAUAACUAGUCGAAAGAUUAGCUAAUACCGCAUACGACCUGAGGGUGAAAGUGGGGGACCGCAAGGCCUCAUGCUAUAGGAGCGGCCGAUGUCUGAUUAGCUAGUUGGUGGGGUAAAGGCCUACCAAGGCGACGAUCAGUAGCUGGUCUGUGAGGACGAUCAGCCACACUGGACUGGGACACGGCCCAGACUCCGACGGGAGGCAGCAGUGGGGAAUUUUGGACAAUGGGCGAAAGCCUGAUCCAGCCAUUCCGCGUGCAGGAUGAAGGCCCUCGGGUUGUAAACUGCUUUUGUACAGAACGAAAAGGUUUCUACUAAUACUAGGAGCUCAUGACGGUACUGUAAGAAUAAGCACCGGCUAACUACGUGCCAGCCGCCGCCGUAA
Molecule: ribosomal RNA, 507 nt
Filed under: uncultured bacterium
Lineage: Bacteria
Description: partial 16S ribosomal RNA
Rfam family: Bacterial small subunit ribosomal RNA
Source: RNAcentral